GCAGCAUCAUUAAGAUUCACA
RNAcentral lists this microRNA (21 nucleotides) under Brassica rapa (field mustard). RNAcentral's name for it is "bra-miR172d-5p". Its record names the gene bra-miR172d-5p. The record is from miRBase by way of RNAcentral. Lineage: Eukaryota; Viridiplantae; Streptophyta; Magnoliopsida; Brassicales; Brassicaceae.